AGAGAAUGUGCUUAGCAUAUGUGAAGCCCUGGGUUCAACCCCCAGCACCAAAAAGGGAAAAAAUGAGACAUAUAUGUUUAUUGACUUUUAAAUUGAAGGUUUUGAUCUGUGCACUUUUCUGUAUAUUUGCUAUAAUUGAAUAAAGUAAAUCAGUUAAGUCCCAUUUCUCCCCAAAUCUGAGCAUGGCAAAGCACCUUCCCAUACACUGGCAGAUACUUUGGAUAGGAUUUUGAGAACCAUGGGUUUCCAACUGUGAGGAUGGGAGACACCGCUCACCGCUGAGGUGGGAGUGUCAUGGUGAGAGCAGGGAGGAAGGGAGAGGAACAUAUUGAACACUGAGAGUCCCAGAUAAAGACCUAGAGCAGUACGGCGAACCUAUGGCAUGUUAUUGUGUUUUUCCUUUAAGACAAAAGAUGUUAAUGUAAAAUUGUUUUUUGUAAACUAAAACCUCAGUAUUCAGGUUUAAUUGCAGUGCUGGCACUUUGUGCUAAGUAAGCGGUUUUCAGGUUGCAGUCUGGCACUUGUCUCUAAACAGGUCGCCGUCAGGGCUCUGGAGUUACUGGCUGUGGGCUCCCCAGUGAAUACAGAGUCUCAUGGUCCACGAGUCCCUUUCACAGCACAGAUUUCCAUCUGUCCCUCAUGUACAACCAACACCCCACACCUCCAACCUGAGCUGGAGCCCAGGGCCUUGUGUACACUCACCAAUUUAUCACUGAGCUACAACUCAGCCCACUCUACUAAGUUUGGAACUCUCACUGGUUUUUUUUUUGUUUCUGAGACAAGGUCUUGCCAUGUAGCCCAGGCUGGCCUUGAACUCAUGGUGAUUCUCCUGUUUCAGCCUUCUGAGCGCUGGGAUUACAGAUGUAUGCCACUGUGCCUGGCUAUUCUCAAUGUUUACCACGAUCUCACAGCCAAGGAUCACCUAAAAGAGACUGAAGCAAAGCAGAGAAACAAAGUGCAACAAAGAAAAGACAUGAAGGUAGAUAGGAACAUUAAAAAUUAGGGGCUGUGGGCCAGGGAUUUAGCUCAGUGGUUCCUCUGCCUGCCUCAAAAGCGCAAGGUCCCAAGUUCGAUCCUUGGUACCAAAAAAAAAAAAAAUUAGGGGCUGGCAGUGUAGCUCAGUGGUGGAGGACUUACUUGCCCAACUAGUGUAAGAUCCUGGGUUCCAUUCCCAAUACUCACCCACCUCCCCAAACCCCAAAUAUUCCCGGAAAGGAUCAUUCAUUCAUCCUUUCUCAAAGGUUACUUUUUUUUUUUUUUUGGUACCGGGGAUCAAACUCGUGUCCUUGUGCUUCCGCAGCAGGCAGCGAAACCACUGAGCUAAAUUCCCAGCCCUCAAAGGUUACUAUUAGGUGCCCUAUGUCCCAAGCAUGGUUAACUGCUUGGAAUAUCAGUGAUGUAAACAAAAAU
Molecule: long non-coding RNA, 1410 nt
Filed under: Heterocephalus glaber (naked mole-rat)
Lineage: Eukaryota; Metazoa; Chordata; Mammalia; Rodentia; Bathyergidae
Description: lncRNA (ENSHGLG00000035862.1)
Source: RNAcentral